AUGAAAGUUGAGCUCCUCGGUAGCCUUGACUCCGGGAACAAGCUCUACUCCAGGGUGGUGCGCGCCGGUGAGACGUUUCUCAUCCCGCGCGGGCUCAUGCACUUCCAGUUCAACAUCGGUAAGACGGAGGCCUCGAUGGUCGUCUCCUUCAACAGCCAGAACCCCGGCAUCGUCUUCGUGCCACUCACGCUCUUCGGUUCCAACCUGCCCACCCCCAUACCGGUGCUCACCAAGGCUCUCCGGGUGGAGGCUGGGGUCGUGGAACUUCUCAAAUCCAAGUUCGUUGGUGGGUCUUAA
Molecule: ribosomal RNA, 297 nt
Filed under: Triticum aestivum (bread wheat)
Lineage: Eukaryota; Viridiplantae; Streptophyta; Magnoliopsida; Poales; Poaceae
Description: partial small subunit ribosomal RNA
Source: RNAcentral